UUUUGGGGAUGAGAGAAGAGAUUUGCUUAUGAAAAAAUGGAUAAUGAAAUUUUCGAUUUUGAACAAAAAAUCAAAUAUAUUUUUGUUGCUUCUAAAUUUAUUUGUUCAUUGAUGGAAAAAUCAAAUAUAUUUUUGGUGCUUAUAAAUAUAUUUUGUACUAAUUACUCUUGGCCUUCACUGAUUUCGUAUGCAAUAGCUAGCAGUAAAAGGACAUAAAUUUUCUUUUGAGAAUUAUAUUUAGGCAUGAUUACUUAAAUAUAAUUUUUCCCCUUCAAAUUCAAUUAAUAAACAAAUUCAAAAUAAAUGGCUAUUUGAUGCAGAAGGAAAGAGUGAGGAGAUUUGUUGAAGAUUUGGAACAAUGGAUGUCAUUGUAGAGAAAUUCAGAUCUUGAUAAUUUAAGUCUAUAAAUUUUGAAACAAUUACUGAUUUUAGUGAAGAAGAAGAAAGAAAAAAUUGAGUGUGUUUUUUCAAAAAAAAUAAAUAAUGAGUUUGAUAUGUUGUGGGUCCAUUUGAUUUUUUAUCAACGGCAAAUAAAUAAACUAUAAUUCCUCCGGUUCUAUAUAUAAGAAAUAUUUUACGUUUUAGAUUCAUUGUAAAAUUGAUGUAUCUAGACAAUAAUAUAGUCUAAAUACAUCAAUUCUACAAUGAAUCUAAAAAGUCAACUUUUUCUUAUAUAUGGGACGGGAGAGAGUAUUAUAUAAAUAUAAAAACGAAAAAAAGUACGAGAGAAACUUUAGGAAAAUAAAAAGCAUCAGAAGUAGUCUCUCCAAGAAUCCAACUAUCUCUAAGGUAAAAUUGAAGGAAAAUAAGGAGGCACACCACCAACAAACUAGUACCCCUCAAUUGUACCACCACGGAAAGAAGAAAACUCCUCAAAAAGAGAGAAACAAGAAUCAACCAUAAAUAGGACAAAGCAACAAAAGGACAUUGAAUCUCAUGAAAUGUUGAGGGUCCAUGAUAAUAUCUUGUGGGAUAGUUUGAUUUAACAAUUAAAUAAGUGGUGCACAUACAAGACACGAGAAUGUCUUUCAUGUUAGGAUAAGCAUUUUAGUAUAAGUGGGAGAGUAGGAAAGAAAAUGCGAUAUUCUUGAAUUGAUAUUAAGGGAGAAUCAUACAAAUAUUCUUUGAAACUUUAUUUUAUUUAUUAUUUCUAUAGAAUCAUAUUAUAUUAUAUAGUAUAUAACCACACGGUAAAAAAAAAAGUCCGUGAAAUAUUUAAAGGUAAAAAAAAAUAUAUUAUUGAGUGGCAUCACAAUAACUCAUUGAAUAUUAUAGUAGUGUGUUUGUUUAUUCUCACAAACUUACCACUCAUAAUAUAUGGAGCUUGAUAAUUAACGACAUACACAUAAAUUUCUACGACACCUCGCUUUAGUAGGAUAUAUGCAAUUAAUUACUGGUUUACAAUCACCAUCAUAAACACAUUCAGGUCCCACUAUAAUGUAAAAAGAGAGAGAAAAGGAUUAAUUUUACUACAUGAGAUAAAAUACUGUAUACAAGUAAAGACUGAAAUUUGCAAGGGAAAUGAAAAUGCUUACAUGAUUUAAUACUUGUUGCAACAAGAAAUAGGGGAAGAAGAAUAAUCAUAACAAAAGUAAAUUUGACAAUUUUAGUCAUAUUUUCCAACGUUUACAUGUAUUAAAUAGAAUAUAUAAUUUUAUCACUUUUAAUUUAUAAGACUUAUAUGUUCUCA
Molecule: long non-coding RNA, 1690 nt
Filed under: Trifolium pratense (red clover)
Lineage: Eukaryota; Viridiplantae; Streptophyta; Magnoliopsida; Fabales; Fabaceae
Description: long non-coding RNA (TPRA_LNC012126)
Source: RNAcentral